RNAcentral lists this ribosomal RNA (254 nucleotides) under uncultured bacterium. RNAcentral's name for it is "partial 16S ribosomal RNA". It matches the Rfam family "Bacterial small subunit ribosomal RNA", at positions 524 to 776 of the family's 1533-position model. The record is from RNAcentral.
UACGUAGGGGGCUAGCGUUGUCCGGAAUCAUUGGGCGUAAAGAGCGUGUAGGCGGUCCGGUAAGUCCGCUGUGAAAGUCGGGGGCUCAACCCUCGAAUGCCGGUGGAUACUGUCGGGCUAGAGUGCGGAAGAGGCGAGUGGAAUUCCCUGGUGUAGCGGUGAAAUGCGCAGAUAUCAGGAGGAACACCUAUUGCGAAGGCAGCUCGCUGGGACGUCACUGACGCUGAGACGCGAAAGCAUGGGGAGCGAACAGG